Molecule: ribosomal RNA, 460 nt
Filed under: Stylodrilus heringianus
Lineage: Eukaryota; Metazoa; Annelida; Clitellata; Lumbriculida; Lumbriculidae
Description: partial 16S ribosomal RNA
Rfam family: Bacterial large subunit ribosomal RNA
Source: RNAcentral
UCAGACCGGGAAGCCCUGCCCAAUGAAUUCUAAAUGGCCGCGGUAUCCUGACCGUGCAAAGGUAGCAUAAUAAUUUGCCCGUUAAUUGCGGGCUAGCAUGAACGGGUUUACGAAAUAGUAACUGUCUCAAUAAAAAAAAAAAAAAUUAUCCUUUAGAUGAAGAGAUUUAAAUAUAAAUGUAGGACAAGAAGACCCUAUAGAGCUUUACCAUAAUAUAUAUUAGAUAUUUUAUUGGUUUGGUUGGGGCGACUAAGGAAUUAAUCAUCCUAAUAAAUAUAGAUUAACAAAUCGUUAUUAUGACCCUAUAAAGAUCAAAGAAUUAAGCUACCUUAGGGAUAACAGGCUAAUCCUUUCGGAGAGACCUUAUUAAUGAAAGGGUUUGGCACCUCGAUGUUGGCUUAGGAAUUCAUUAUGAUGCAGAAGUCAUAAAGGAGGGUUUGUUCAACCCAUAAUAUCCUAC